GAUGAAGAACGCAGUGAAAUGCGAUACGUAAUGUGAAUUGCAAAUUCAGUGAAUCAUCGAGUCUUUGAACGCACAUUGCACCCCCUGGUAUUCCGGGGGGCAUGCCUGUCCGAGCGUCAUUGCUGCCCUCAAGCACGGCUUGUGUGUUGGGCCCCGUCCUCCGAUCCCGGGGGACGGGCCCGAAAGGCAGCGGCGGCACCGCGUCCGGUCCUCGAGCGUAUGGGGCUUUGUCACCCGCUCUGUAGGCCCGGCCGGCGCUUGCCGAUCAACCCAAAUUUUUAUCCAGGUUGACCUCGGAUCAGGUAGGGAUACCCGCUGAACUUAAGCAUAUCAAUAAGCGGAGGA
Molecule: unclassified non-coding RNA, 345 nt
Filed under: soil metagenome
Description: partial contains 5.8S ribosomal RNA, internal transcribed spacer 2, and large subunit ribosomal RNA
Rfam family: 5.8S ribosomal RNA (bases 1-119)
Source: RNAcentral